GAUGAACGCUGGCGGCGUGCCUAAUACAUGCAAGUCGAGCGAACAGAUGAGGAGCUUGCUCCUCUGACGUUAGCGGCGGACGGGUGAGUAACACGUGGAUAACCUACCUAUAAGACUGGGAUAACUUCGGGAAACCGGAGCUAAUACCGGAUAAUAUAUUGAACCGCAUGGUUCAAUAGUGAAAGACGGUUUUGCUGUCACUUAUAGAUGGAUCCGCGCCGCAUUAGCUAGUUGGUAAGGUAACGGCUUACCAAGGCAACGAUGCGUAGCCGACCUGAGAGGGUGAACGGGCACACUGGAACUGAGACACGGUCCAGACUCCUACGGGAGGCAGCAGUAGGGAAUCUUCCGCAAUGGGCGAAAGCCUGACGGAGCAACGCCGCGUGAGUGAUGAAGGUCUUCGGAUCGUAAAACUCUGUUAUUAGGGAAGAACAAAUGUGUAAGUAACUAUGCACGUCUUGACGGUACCUAAUCAGAAAGCCACGGCUAACUACGUG
RNAcentral lists this ribosomal RNA (497 nucleotides) under uncultured bacterium. RNAcentral's name for it is "partial 16S ribosomal RNA". It matches the Rfam family "Bacterial small subunit ribosomal RNA", at positions 28 to 507 of the family's 1533-position model. The record is from RNAcentral.